This 1416-nucleotide long non-coding RNA is filed under the name Homo sapiens (human). Its description in RNAcentral is "HSALNT0237173". The record is from RNAcentral. Lineage: Eukaryota; Metazoa; Chordata; Mammalia; Primates; Hominidae.
GCUGCUGCUACUGGUUCCUGAGACACUUUGAAGAGAGAGGCUCUCAAGCAACCCCAUCAUUUCAGGGAUGGGGAAACUGAAACCGCAGGUAAAGCGGCUUCACCAAGUUCAAGCAACUGAAAAGUGACAGAUCCAGGUCUGGAGCCCAGGUCUCCAGGCUGCCAGUAAAGGCCUCUUUCCUCUCCAUAAAUGGCUGACUGGCUUCUCCCAAGCCCUGCUGAGCCUCAGGCAGAACAAGCAAGCGAGCAGGUCAGCAGCUGUGGAAGUGAGGCACGCUCAUACUGCAGAGUCAUGCACCUUUCCCCCUCGGGCCUCACCCUGGCUGUGCCGCGUGCCCAGGAAGGAACAGGCCUCCACGCUGCUCUGCGUCACUUCAGAUACCACAGCACUGAGCCCAUGGGUGCCCCUCACACAGGGCAGGGAGGGAGGAGGAAAUAGGAGGGGCCACAAUGCCACCAGGCAGCUCCACAUUGAGCCGGACUACAUCUGAUCUGGACUUGUCCUCCCAGAAAGCUCUCCACCAAAGGGCUGGGCAUGGUGAGCCUCCUACUGUUCCCCAGGCCCACCUCAUGGCCCCUCCUCCUGUUCAUUCCCUCUAGAGGCAAUUGGGCCUUUUCAGUGACCUGAACUCUGUCCACCCUGCCACUUACAGGCUGAGUGACUAUAGGUAGCCCCCUCCUAUUAGGAGGUAAUAAUAAUGACAUCACAAUCACAAGUGAUCCAGCACCAGUCUUCAGGACUUCUGCAGCCUCCUGAAUUGGCAAAUACCUUAGAAGGUAUCAUGCCUCAUGUCUGUAAUCCCAGCACUUUGGGAGGCUGAGGCAGGUGGAUCACCUGAGGUCGGGAGUUCGAGACCAGCCUGACCAACGUGGAGAAGCCCCUUCUCUACUAAAAAUACAAAAUUAGCCCGGUAUAGUGGUGCAUUCCUGUAAUCCCAGCUACUCCGGAGGUUGAGGCAGGAGAAUCGCUUGAACCCGGGAGGCAGAGGUUGUGGUGAGCCAAGAUCGCAUCAUUGCACUCCUACAGCAAAACUCCGUCUCAAAAAAAAAAAAAAAUCAAAAUGUAGAGCUGUAAAUCUUAGGCCAUCACCUCCUGAUUCUAGGGCUAUAAACCUGUUGUUUUCAAAGCUAUUUAAGGGCCCUGCUCACACAGGAAUUCAUGGCAGAAUGGAGCUGGGAGGCAGAUGGAGCGAUGGAGAUCAUAUGCUCAGGAUCCCUCUCCCCCUCUCAUGACAAAGGCUUUGCCCCUGCUUCUGGCUGGAGGGACCUGCCCUCUCCUUGCUUGGGACAGUUGUUAACCAACACAUCUUAAUGACAGAGGAGAGAAGAAUCAAGACCUGGGGAUGGAGCUGGGAGAGGCCAGCCUCGAACAAAGAAUAUCUUGAAAGCCUCUUUUUAUCAUUAAAGUGUGUAUGAA